CCUACGGGUGGCAGCAGUGGGGAAUCUUGGGCAAUGGGCGCAAGCCUGAACCAGCAAAGCCGCGUGAAGGCAGACGGCUCUAGGGUUGUCAAAUUCUUUUAUCAGGGACGAAGCGAGUGACGGUAACUGAUGAAUUAGCAACGGCUAACUAAGUACCAGCAGCCGCGGUUAUACGUAGGUGGAAGGCGGUAUCCGGAUGUCAUGGGUGUAAAGGGCGUGUAGGCGGGAUUGCAAGUCUGAUGGGAAAACUAAGGGCGCAACCCAUAGCCUGGAUUUGAAACUGUACUUCUUGAGUGCUGGAGAGGCAAGCGGAAUGCCGGGUGUAGCGGUGAAAUGCGUAGAUAUACGGAGGAACACCAGUGGCGAAGGCGGAUUGCUGGACAGUAACUGACGCUGAGGCGCGAAAGCGUGGGGAGCAAACAGGAUUAGAUACCCGGGUAGUC
RNAcentral lists this ribosomal RNA (443 nucleotides) under uncultured bacterium. RNAcentral's name for it is "partial 16S ribosomal RNA". It matches the Rfam family "Bacterial small subunit ribosomal RNA", at positions 338 to 795 of the family's 1533-position model. The record is from RNAcentral.